This 1470-nucleotide ribosomal RNA is filed under the name metagenome. RNAcentral describes it as "bacterial SSU rRNA". It matches the Rfam family "Bacterial small subunit ribosomal RNA". The record is from RNAcentral.
AGAGUUUGAUCCUGGCUCAGGACGAACGCUGGCGGCACGCUUAACACAUGCAAGUCGAACGAGAGAAGAGGAGCUUGCUUUUCUGAUCUAGUGGCGGACGGGUGAGUAACACGUGAGCAAUCUGCCUUUCAGAGGGGGAUACCGAUUGGAAACGAUCGUUAAUACCGCAUAACAUAAUUGAACCGCAUGAUUUGAUUAUCAAAGAUUUAUCGCUGAAAGAUGAGCUCGCGUCUGAUUAGCUAGUUGGUAAGGUAACGGCUUACCAAGGCGACGAUCAGUAGCCGGACUGAGAGGUUGAUCGGCCACAUUGGGACUGAGACACGGCCCAGACUCCUACGGGAGGCAGCAGUGGGGAAUAUUGCACAAUGGAGGAAACUCUGAUGCAGCGAUGCCGCGUGAGGGAAGAAGGUUUUAGGAUUGUAAACCUCUGUCUUCAGGGACGAAAAAAGACGGUACCUGAGGAGGAAGCUCCGGCUAACUACGUGCCAGCAGCCGCGGUAAUACGUAGGGAGCGAGCGUUGUCCGGAAUUACUGGGUGUAAAGGGAGCGUAGGCGGGAUCGCAAGUCAGACGUGAAAACUAUGGGCUUAACCCAUAAACUGCAUUUGAAACUGUGGUUCUUGAGUGAAGUAGAGGUAAGCGGAAUUCCUAGUGUAGCGGUGAAAUGCGUAGAUAUUAGGAGGAACAUCAGUGGCGAAGGCGGCUUACUGGGCUUUAACUGACGCUGAGGCUCGAAAGCGUGGGGAGCAAACAGGAUUAGAUACCCUGGUAGUCCACGCCGUAAACGAUGAUUACUAGGUGUGGGGGGACUGACCCCUUCCGUGCCGCAGCAAACGCAAUAAGUAAUCCACCUGGGGAGUACGACCGCAAGGUUGAAACUCAAAGGAAUUGACGGGGGCCCGCACAAGCAGUGGAGUAUGUGGAUUAAUUCGAAGCAACGCGAAGAACCUUACCAGGUCUUGACAUCGUAUGCAUAGCUCAGAGAUGAGUGAAAUCUCUUCGGAGACAUAUAGACAGGUGGUGCAUGGUUGUCGUCAGCUCGUGUCGUGAGAUGUUGGGUUAAGUCCCGCAACGAGCGCAACCCUUACUGUUAGUUGCUACGCAAGAGCACUCUAGCAGGACUGCCGUUGACAAAACGGAGGAAGGUGGGGAUGACGUCAAAUCAUCAUGCCCCUUAUGACCUGGGCCUCACACGUACUACAAUGGCUGUCAACAGAGGGAAGCAAAGCCGCGAGGUGGAGCGAACCCCUAAAAGCAGUCUUAGUUCGGAUUGUAGGCUGCAACCCGCCUACAUGAAGUCGGAAUUGCUAGUAAUCGCAGAUCAGCAUGCUGCGGUGAAUACGUUCCCGGGCCUUGUACACACCGCCCGUCACGCCAUGGGAGUCGGUAACACCCGAAGCCUGUAGUCUAACCGCAAGGAGGACGCAGUCGAAGGUGGGAUUGAUGACUGGGGUGAAGUCGUAACAAGGUA